CCUACGGGUGGCUGCAGUCGAGGAUCUUCGGCAAUGGGCGCAAGCCUGACCGAGCGACGCCGCGUGUGCGACGAAGGCCUUCGGGUUGUAAAGCACUGUCGAGGGGGAGGAAGGCGCAAGCUUGACCUAUCCCUGGAGGAAGCACGGGCUAAGUUCGUGCCAGCAGCCGCGGUAAGACGAACCGUGCGAACGUUGUUCGGAAUCACUGGGCUUAAAGGGCGCGUAGGCGGGCGGGCAAGUCCGCGGUGAAAGCCUCUGGCUUAACCAGAGAAGGGCCGCGGGUACUGCUCGUCUGGAGGCGGGUAGGGGCGUCUGGAACCAUGGGUGGAGCGGUGAAAUGCGUUGAUAUCCAUGGGAACUCCGGUGGCGAAAGCGAGGCGCUGGACCCGCACUGACGCUGAGGCGCGAAAGCCAGGGGAGCGAACGGGAUUAGAUACCCCAGUAGUC
This 447-nucleotide ribosomal RNA is filed under the name uncultured bacterium. Its description in RNAcentral is "bacterial SSU rRNA". It matches the Rfam family "Bacterial small subunit ribosomal RNA", at positions 338 to 795 of the family's 1533-position model. The record is from RNAcentral.